AAUUUUUAUGUUUUAUAAAAUUUAUUAUAAGUUUAUUUUACAUAUAAAUUUUAGUAUGAAUUUUUAAUUAUUUUAAAAAUAAUUAAUUAAAAAUUAUAGUGAGUAAAAUUAAAAAUUUAAGAAAUUAAGAUUUAGUAAUAUAAAAAUUGAUAACUAAUUUUGUGCCAGCAGUUGCGGUUAUACAAAAAUUAAAUUAAAUUAUUUCAGUAUUUAAUAAAUAAAAUAUAAUACUAAAAUAAAUAUUAAAUUAUUGGGUAAAAUUUUAAUUUAAUUAAAUUUUAAAUUUAAUUUAUGAUUUAGUAAAUUUAGCAAUAAACUAGGAUUAGAUACCCUAUUAUUAUAAAUUUAAUUAAUAAUACUAAAAUAGUAGAUAAUAAAUAUUGAAACUUAAAUAAUAUGGCGGUAUUUUAGUUCAUUUAGAGGAAUCUGUUUAAUAAUUGAUAAUCCACGAAUAAAUUUACUUGAUUUAGUAUUUUAUAUAUCGUUGUUAAAAAAAUAUUUUACAAUAAAAAUAAUAUUUUAAAAUUUUUAUGGUAAAUUAGUUCAAAUCAAGAUGUAGAUUAUAAUUAAGAAUAUAAUGGAUUACAAUAAAAUAAUUUAAAAUGAAUAAUUAGUUUUAAAAUUAAUUUAAAGGUGGAUUUAAAUGUAAUUUUAAUUAAUUUAUUAAAAUGAUUAAAAAUUGAAAUAUGUACAUAUUGCCCGUCACUUUCAUUUAAAAAUUGGAAUAAGUCGUAACAAAGUAGGAGUACUGGAAAGUGUUUCUAGAAUGAA
This 771-nucleotide ribosomal RNA is filed under the name Lethe distans. RNAcentral's name for it is "12S ribosomal RNA". The record is from RNAcentral. Lineage: Eukaryota; Metazoa; Arthropoda; Insecta; Lepidoptera; Nymphalidae.